This 506-nucleotide ribosomal RNA is filed under the name uncultured bacterium. RNAcentral's name for it is "partial 16S ribosomal RNA". It matches the Rfam family "Bacterial small subunit ribosomal RNA", at positions 29 to 523 of the family's 1533-position model. The record is from RNAcentral.
AGUGAACGCUGGCGGUAGGCCUAACAUAUGCAAGUCGAACGGCAGCACAGAGGAGCUUGCUCCUUGGGUGGCGAGUGGCGGACGGGUGAGGAAUACAUCGGGAUCUACUCUGUCGUGGGGGAUAACGUAGGGAAACUUACGCUAAUACCGCAUACGACCUACGGGUGAAAGCAGGGGAUCUUCGGACCUUGCGCGAUUGAAUGAGCCGAUGUCGGAUUAGCUAGUUGGCGGGGUAAAGGCCCACCAAGGCGACGAUCCGUAGCUGGUCUGAGGGGAUGAUCAGCCACACUGGAACUGAGACACGGUCCAGACUCCUACGGGAGGCAGCAGUGGGGAAUAUUGGACAAUGGGCGCAAGCCUGAUCCAGCCAUACCGCGUGGGUGAAGAAGGCCUUCGGGUUGUAAAGCCCUUUUGUUGGGAAAGAAAUCCAUCUGGUUAAUACCCGGGUGGGAUGACGGUACCCAAAGAAUAAGCACCGGCUAACCUCGUGCCAGCAGCCGCGGUAA